This 659-nucleotide ribosomal RNA is filed under the name uncultured Lachnospiraceae bacterium. RNAcentral describes it as "bacterial SSU rRNA". It matches the Rfam family "Bacterial small subunit ribosomal RNA", at positions 9 to 695 of the family's 1533-position model. Lineage: Bacteria; Bacillati; Bacillota; Clostridia; Lachnospirales; Lachnospiraceae. The record is from RNAcentral.
GAGUUUGAUCAUGGCUCAGGAUGAACGCUGGCGGCGUGCUUAACACAUGCAAGUCGAGCGAAGAAGCCUUCGGGUGGAUGAGCGGCGGACGGGUGAGUAACGCGUGGGUAACCUGCCUCAUACAGGGGGAUAACAGUUAGAAAUGACUGCUAAUACCGCAUAAGCGCACAGCUGCAUGGCCAGUGUGAAAAACUCCGGUGGUAUGAGAUGGACCCGCGUCUGAUUAGGUAGUUGGUAGGGUAACGGCCUACCAAGCCGACGAUCAGUAGCCGACCUGAGAGGGUGACCGGCCACAUUGGGACUGAGACACGGCCCAAACUCCUACGGGAGGCAGCAGUGGGGAAUAUUGGACAAUGGGGGAAACCCUGAUCCAGCGACGCCGCGUGACUGAAGAAGUAUUUCGGUAUGUAAAGGUCUAUCAGCAGGGAAGAAAAUGACGGUACCUGACUAAGAAGCCCCGGCUAACUACGUGCCAGCAGCCGCGGUAAUACGUAGGGGGCAAGCGUUAUCCGGAUUUACUGGGUGUAAAGGGAGCGUAGACGGCGAUGCAAGUCUGAAGUGAAAGCCCGGGGCUCAACCCCGGGACUGCUUUGGAAACUGUGUUGCUGGAGUGCAGAGAGGUAAGUGGAAUUCCUAGUGUAGCGGUGAAAUGCGUAGAU